GAUGAACGCUGGCGGCGUGCCUAAUACAUGCAAGUCGAACGAGGUGCUUUUGUAGCAAUACGAGAGUAUCCUAGUGGCGAACGGGUGAGUAACGCGUGGAUGACCUGCCCCAAAGUGUGGGAUAACAGUCCGAAAGGAUUGCUAAUACCUCAUGUGGUUAUCGGUUUUAGAAAGCGAUAACUAAAGCAGCAAUGCGCUUUGGGAGGGAUCUGCGUCCCAUCAGCUAGUUGGUGAGGUAACGGCUCACCAAGGCGACGACGGGUAGGGGACCUGAGAGGGUGGCCCCCCACAAUGGAACUGAAACACGGUCCAUACACCUACGGGUGGCAGCAGUAGGGAAUAUUGCUCAAUGGGCGAAAGCCUGAAGCAGCAACGCCGCGUGUGCGAUGAA
RNAcentral lists this ribosomal RNA (391 nucleotides) under uncultured bacterium. Its description in RNAcentral is "bacterial SSU rRNA". It matches the Rfam family "Bacterial small subunit ribosomal RNA", at positions 28 to 412 of the family's 1533-position model. The record is from RNAcentral.